UACAGAGGUCCCGAGCGUUGUUCGGAUUUAUUGGGCGUAAAGGGUGCGUAGGCGGCGGAGUAAGUUGGGUGUGAAAUCCCGGGGAUUAACCUCGGAAUUGCAUUCAAUACUGCUUCGCUCGAGUACUGGAGAGGAGGCUGGAAUUUACGGUGUAGCAGUGAAAUGCGUAGAUAUCGUAAGGAAGGCCGGUGGCGAAAGCGAGCCUCUGGACAGUUACUGACGCUGAUGCACGAAGGCCAGGGGAGCAAACGGG
RNAcentral lists this ribosomal RNA (253 nucleotides) under uncultured bacterium. Its description in RNAcentral is "partial 16S ribosomal RNA". It matches the Rfam family "Bacterial small subunit ribosomal RNA", at positions 524 to 776 of the family's 1533-position model. The record is from RNAcentral.